CCGGCCAAGGGGCCCAAGCCGGAGAAGCCCCCGACCAAGGGCCACGGCCACAAGCCGGAGAAGCCGCCCAAGGAGCACAAGCCGACUCCGCCCACCUACACCCCGAGCCCCAAGCCCACGCCGCCGCCGGCUACUCCCAAGCCGACGCCGCCCACCUACACGCCGAGCCCUAAGCCCAAGUCGCCGGUCUACCCUCCCCCGCCGAAAGCCAGUACUCCUCCGACCUACACCCCGAGCCCCAAGCCUCCGGCGACCAAGCCGCCUACCUACCCGACCCCCAAGCCACCAGCUACCAAGCCUCCGACACCUCCUGUGUACACUCCGAGCCCCAAACCACCGGUUACAAAGCCUCCUACACCCAAGCCGACCCCGCCGGUGUACACGCCGAACCCCAAGCCACCGGUUACCAAGCCUCCGACACACACGCCGAGCCCCAAGCCUCCGACAUCCAAGCCGACUCCGCCGGUGUACACACCGAGCCCCAAGCCACCGAAGCCGUCCCCGCCGACGUACACGCCGACCCCGAAGCCACCGGCUACCAAGCCGCCCACCUCAACUCCGACGCACCCUAAGCCGACGCCGCACACGCCUAUCCCCAAGCCCACGCCGCCAAC
RNAcentral lists this long non-coding RNA (614 nucleotides) under Sorghum bicolor (sorghum). RNAcentral describes it as "long non-coding RNA (SBIC_LNC011143)". Lineage: Eukaryota; Viridiplantae; Streptophyta; Magnoliopsida; Poales; Poaceae. The record is from RNAcentral.